UUGUGCAGAAAGCUUUGCGUCAUGGUUCUGAUCGCUCUGUCGGAGUGUAUUUAGUGAUAAUGACCAUCUAUUGAUUAUGCAUUAUCUGUAAAUUAUUCUUCUGCUCAUCAAAAAUACAGAAAAAAAUGUAAUAUUGUGAAAUAUUACUGCAAUUUCCAAUAUUGGUUUGCUUUGUUGAUAUACUUUAAAACAGAAUGUAUUUCUGUGACGCAGCUGUAUUUUCAGCAUCAUUGCUCCAGUCUUCAGUGUCACAUGAUCUUCAGAAAUCAUUCUAAUAUGAUGAUUCAUUAUCAAAGUUGGAAACAGUUCUGCUGCUUAAUAUUUUUUCAGAACGUGAUACUUUUUUAGGAUUCUUUGAUGAAUAAAAAAAAAAAAAAAAAAAAAAAAAAAAGAAGCUAUGUUUUUAAAUUAUAAAUAUUUUGUAAUAACAAUAUACACUACUGGUCAGUAAUUUGGGGUCAGUAAUCUUUCUUUUUAAAUAAAAAUCAAUACUUUUAUUCAGCAAGGAUGUGUUAAAUUGAUAAAAAGUGAUAGUAAAGAAAAUAUAUUAUUAGAAUAUAUAUUAUUAGAUUUAUUUAUUUUUUUUGAAUAAAUGUAGUUCUUUUUAACCUUUUAUUCAUCAAAUAUAUUAGACAGCAGAACAGUGUUUCCAACACUCAUAAUAAAUCAGAAUAUUAGAAUGAUUUCUAAAUGAUCAUGUGAUAGACUGGAUGUUACAUGUGACACUGAAGGCUGGAGUAAUGAUGCUGAAAAUUCAGCUUUGCAUCACAGGAAUAAAUUAUUUUUUAAAGUAUAUUCAAAUAGAAAACUAUUAUUUUAAGUUGUAAUAAUAUUUCACAAUAUUACUGUUUUUUCUGUAUUUUUGAUCAAAUAAAUGCAGGCUUGAUGAGCAGAAGAGACUUCUUUCAAAAACAUUAAAAAUAGUAAUGUUUCCAAACUUUUGGUCUGUACUGUAUGUAUGUGAGUGUUGUCGUCUACCGAAACACUGACAGAAAACUAGUGACGCAGGAUGUUAAAACACUGCCGUGUGAUGAACGGUACUAUGACUGCCCUGCUGAAAUAAACAAGACACCAUCACAGAAUUUGUAAUGGUUUUAUUGGUUAUAAUGGGACUUGUAUUGGUUUUAAUGGAAACUGUAAUGGACCCUGUGGGUCUCUACUGGUCAUUGGUUGCUUUCUAUUGGUGGCUUGUUAAAACCAAUCAAUGCUAAUGGAAUAUGUCCCAAAACACCAUUUUUAAAUGGUUUUAAUGGUUAAAAG
Molecule: long non-coding RNA, 1260 nt
Organism: Cyprinus carpio carpio
Lineage: Eukaryota; Metazoa; Chordata; Actinopteri; Cypriniformes; Cyprinidae
Source: Ensembl